AAAUAACAUGGGAAACAGCAAAUAAUGUGUCAUUUAAAAUGGAUGCCUGAUUGAAGGCCAGAACACUGGGAUAAAUAUCUCUGUUCUUUGAACUAAAGCCAUGGGAUCUUUUACCUUCAAGACAGAAGAUGUGAGCUUCAGUUUAAUAGUGCAUCUGAAAAGCAUUACAAUUACACUACAAUGCUCUCUUAGUAAUCCAUUGAAAUACAAUCCUGAUUUUUGUGCUCAGAUCUCUGGAGUGGAAUUUGAACCUACAAUCUAACUCAAGCCUUCAAGUUAGCCACAGAGGAAGAGUUAAGAGCUUAAGUUCCCUUCCCUGGGCAAUGUGAUGACGACUUAAAGUCUGGACUGGAACUUGAACCCAAAGAGACUAGCGGAGAUGCAUUCCUGGAGGACUGACUAAAGACAGUGCCAACACAGAAGAGUAGAAGACUUAGAAUAUCAGCCAAAGAUAACUCAAAACAAUGAAGUGAAAGAGUGGGACUUACUAAUCAUCACCAUUACUAAGGAGAUGAUGUUGGGAAAACUACUGACCAGUCAGCUGACAACUCCCAAGACUUGACAGCAUGCAUCCUAGGAUCUUAAUGACUACAAAGCAAAAACAGGGAUUGGUUAUAAUUAUCCAAAUUUCUUGAGUUUCUAGAAGGGUUUUGAAAUGAGCAAGUAUUACAUCUUUAUCCAAGAAAGAAAAGCGACACAAGCAGGAAUAUAUAAAUAAAAAAUAUUGCAGAUGUUGGAAUCAGAAAUAAAAAGUGGAAAAACUCAUCAGGUCUGGAGCUGCUUUGAGGGAAGAAACAGAAUUAAAUUUAAAAUCCAGUGACUUUUCUUCAUAGCUCCAAACUUCUCAGGGAGAGUUUUUGAACUCAAAUGUUAACGCAGUUUCUCUAUAGAUGCUGCCAGACCUGCUGUUUUUCUCCAGCACUUUGCUUUUAAUACAGCAGGAAACUAUAGACCUGUCAGCGAAACAUCUGACAUAGAUAAAUUACGAGAAAUAAUGAGGCGGUUAUAGCAAAACCAUUUAGAAAAUAAUAAUGGGAUCAGUUAGAGUCCAUGUGGUUAGGUGAAAGGGAAACAAUGUUUGAUUCAUUUUUUGUUAAAAUUGGUUAAGAUGGGGGUGGCACUGGCUAGGCCAGUAUUUAUUGCUGAUCGCUAAUUGCCUUUGAGAAUGGAGGUACUGGAUGAUUUCUUGAACCACUGAAAUCCAUGCGGUACAAGUGGACCAAUGGGGCUCUUAGGGAAGGAAUUUUAGGAUUUUGACGCAGCAACUGUGAAUGAACAGUGAUAAGUUCUAAGGUGGCAUAAUGUCUUGGUCUCUAUCUCAGGAAAGAUACUAUUGCCAUAGGUGGUGUAAGGAUGGUUCACCAGACUUGUUCCUGGGAUGGCAGGACUGACCUAGGAAGAGAGUGUUUAAAAACUGAUUCAUGGGAUGUGAGCAUCACUAGCUAGACCAACAUUUAUUGCCCAUCCCUAAUUGCCCAGAGGGCAGUUAGGAGACAACCACAUUCUUAUGGGUCUGGACUCAAGUAGGUCAGACCAGGUAAGGAUGGCAGCUUCCUUCCCUCAACAACAUUAGUGAACCAGAUGUUUUCAAACAGUUGUUAAUGGAUUCAUGAUCAUCAUUAGACUCUUAAUUCCAGAUUUUUAUUGAAUUGAAAAUUUCAUCAUCUGCCAUAGCAAGAUUUGAAUGCAGGUCCCCAGAUAUUAGCCGAAUCGCUGGAUUAAUAGUCUAGUGAUAACACCACUUGGCCAUCACCUUCCCAUAGUGUUCAGAUUGGGCCAGCUGGGCCUAUAAUUCUCCAGCGUUUUGAAGAAUACAAGGUGAUCACAUUGAAAUUAACAAAAUACUUAGAGGUAGACAGUAGACAUACGCAAAAUGUUUCCCCUGGUUGAAGUCUAGAAUUGGGGCACAGUUUAAAAAUAAGGGAGUUGCCACUUAGGGGUGAGGCGAGGAGAUGGUUUUAAAACUCAAAAGGGUUGAGGAACUUUGGAAUUCUCUGUAAGAGUGCUUGAGAAGCUCAGUCUUUGCAUAUAUUCAGUACAAAUUAAGACUUGAGAUUUCUAGUAACGUAAAAGGUUAUGGGAAUAGGGUUUGUAAAAGGCACUGAAGUAUUCAAACAGCCAUUAUUGUACUGAAUGGAAAGGCAGGCUUGAAAGCUGAAUGGCCUACUCCUGUUCCUAUUUUACCACAAUCUACUCCAUAUACCAAUUUGUUUUGCCAACUCACAACCUAUCAUUUUGUGAACUCUUCUUGACAAGAUAAUUUCCCACCUAUCUUGGUGUCAUCAAGAAAUUUAGCUACUGUACAAUUUUUCUUCCAUCCAAGUUAUAGACAGAUUGCAAAAAAGAUGAAGCCCUAGGUCCUAGUGUCCUGUAUGAACCCCAAACCAGCUUCCGAUCACAUUUUCUGUGGACAGAAAGAACCAUGUAAUAGCCAAUACAAGGAGAGACUUUAAAGUUUUGACUUCUAAGUUCAUAACUUAGUUUUACACACCACAAUCAGUUUGCCAAAUAGGUCUCAUUUUAACUUCAAAUCAAAAUUCCCCAUACAUUUAAAAUUUGUAGAUUAUAGAAAGUGGAGGAUCAAGACAUAUGUGCAUGUAUAACUCAGUAUAUUGGCCCUCCGCCAUCAGGCAGAAUUUUCACUCAACCGUAACGUUCUUAAAUAGAAAGGACUAUUGUAAACAUGCAAGAUAGAAAUUCAAUAAUCUGGCAAAUUCAGUCAGCCAUUACAAAUUGGGAGCCUACCAACCUUUGCAGCUGGCUAGGGAUUAUUUAAUUCUCCUAGUUUCAGUCAUAUUUGUUCAGAUGACAGCCUUCUAUAUUAGGGAUUCCAAUGCCUUCUUUUCUCCUUGGCCUAGAAUUCCACCUGAGUUUGGUUGACAGGGCCCUCCAGAGUGUUUGAUCUAUUUCAGAUAAUUCUGUUCUUGCUCCUUUAUUUCUUCCCAGAUUCACAAUAGGUUUUUCCACAGAAUCCGAACUGUUAUGGUGCAGGAGGCAACCAUUUAGUCCACGCCUUCACCAGCUCUUCAAACAACCAUCAUUACCAUGUGCCAAUUUCCUGCUCCCCAACUCCACCCACACACUAUUUCUAUCCAAAUCAUCAAAUGUCCUCUUGAACUCCUCAGUUGAACCUGUCUCCAUUCUUCCUUUCAAAGCAUUCCAUAUCCUAAAUACUCAGAUUUUUCCUCACAUCUUUGCUUCAUCAUUUAAUCUUUCUUGCCCUACACCCCAUUACAAACCUCCCUUUUGAUCUGGCCCCUCAUUGCUCCAUUCACUUAUUCAAAAUCUAUUACACUUAUCUCUUCAGUCGGAUGGGGGAGUUAACCAGAAAUGUUAAAUCUGUUUCUCCAUAGAUUCUACCUGACUUACCAUUUCUAGCAUUCUGUAUUUUUUAGUUUCAGAUUUCCAGCAUCUGCAAUAUUUUAUUUUCACAUUAUAUACUGUACUGCACCUGGUGG
Rhincodon typus (whale shark) is the source of this 3458-nucleotide long non-coding RNA. RefSeq lists it as uncharacterized. The transcript is spliced from 3 exons. The record is from RefSeq and is a predicted model, not a curated record. Lineage: Eukaryota; Metazoa; Chordata; Chondrichthyes; Orectolobiformes; Rhincodontidae.